Molecule: ribosomal RNA, 497 nt
Filed under: uncultured bacterium
Lineage: Bacteria
Description: partial 16S ribosomal RNA
Rfam family: Bacterial small subunit ribosomal RNA
Source: RNAcentral
GACGAACGCUGGCGGCGUGCCUAAUACAUGCAAGUUGAGCGAUGAAGAUUGGUGCUUGCACCAAUUUGAAGAGCAGCGAACGGGUGAGUAACGCGUGGGGAAUCUGCCUUUGAGCGGGGGACAACAUUUGGAAACGAAUGCUAAUACCGCAUAACAACUUUAAACAUAAGUUUUAAGUUUGAAAGAUGCAAUUGCAUCACUCAAAGAUGAUCCCGCGUUGUAUUAGCUAGUUGGUGAGGUAAAGGCUCACCAAGGCGAUGAUACAUAGCCGACCUGAGAGGGUGAUCGGCCAAAUUGGGACUGAGACACGGCCCAAACUCCUAAGGGAGGCAGCAGUAGGGAAUCUUCGGAAAUGGACGAAAGUCUGAACGAGCAACGCCGCGUGAGUGAAGAAGGUUUUCGGAUCGUAAAACUCUGUUGGUAGAGAAGAAAGUUGGUGAGAGUGGAAAGCUCAUCAAGUGACGGUAACUACACAGAAAGGGACGGCUAACUACGUG